RNAcentral lists this small RNA (57 nucleotides) under Anolis carolinensis (green anole). The record is from RNAcentral. Lineage: Eukaryota; Metazoa; Chordata; Lepidosauria; Squamata; Anolidae.
GACUCUGGUGGUUGGUGCUCCUGGUUUCCAGGAUGGGGUUCAAGUCCCUGCGGCGUC